CUACGGGGGGCAGCAGUGGGGAAUAUUGGACAAUGGGGGAAACCCUGAUCCAGCAAUGCCGCGUGUGUGAAGAAGGCCUGCGGGUUGUAAAGCACUUUCGGUUGGGAGGACUGCUUCUAGCACUAAUAUUGUUGGAAGUUGACGUUACCUUCAGAAGAAGCACCGGCUAACUCCGUGCCAGCAGCCGCGGUAAUACGGGGGGUGCAAGCGUUAAUCGGAAUUACUGGGCGUAAAGCGCGCGUAGGCGGCUAGAUCAGUCGGGUGUGAAAGCCCCGGGCUUAACCUGGGAACUGCAUCCGAUACUGUCUAGCUUGAGUACAGGAGAGGAGAGUGGAAUUCCACAUGUAGCGGUGAAAUGCGUAGAUAUGUGGAGGAACACCAAUGGCGAAGGCAGCUCUCUGGCCUGAUACUGACGUUGAGGUGCGAAAGCGUGGGGAGCAAACAGGAUUAGAUACCCGCGUAGUC
RNAcentral lists this ribosomal RNA (465 nucleotides) under uncultured bacterium. RNAcentral's name for it is "partial 16S ribosomal RNA". It matches the Rfam family "Bacterial small subunit ribosomal RNA", at positions 339 to 795 of the family's 1533-position model. The record is from RNAcentral.